AUCCAGACUCCUACGGGAGGCAGCAGUGAGGAAUAUUGGUCAAUGGGCGCGAGCCUGAACCGGCCAAGUCGCGUGAGGGAAGACGGUCCUAUGGAUUGUAAACCUCUUUUGUCGGGGAGCAAAAGACGCCACGCGUGGCGUUCCGAGAGUGCCCGAAGAAAAAGCAUCGGCUAACUACGUGCCAGCAGCCGCGGUAAUACGUAGGUGGCAAGCGUUAUCCGGAUUUACUGGGUGUAAAGGGCGUGUAGGCGGGACUGCAAGUCAGAUGUGAAAACCAUGGGCUCAACCUAUGGCCUGCAUUUGAAACUGUAGUUCUUGAGUACUGGAGAGGCAGACGGAAUUCCUAGUGUAGCGGUGAAAUGCGUAGAUAUUAGGAGGAACACCAGUGGCGAAGGCGGUCUGCUGGACAGCAACUGACGCUGAGGCGCGAAAGCGUGGGGAGCAAACAGGAUUAGAUACCCCAGUA
RNAcentral lists this ribosomal RNA (466 nucleotides) under uncultured bacterium. RNAcentral describes it as "bacterial SSU rRNA". It matches the Rfam family "Bacterial small subunit ribosomal RNA", at positions 329 to 792 of the family's 1533-position model. The record is from RNAcentral.